GACGAACGCUGGCGGCGUGCUUAACACAUGCAAGUCGAACGAGAAAGCCCUUCGGGGUAAGUACAGUGGCGAACGGGUGAGUAACACGUGGGCAACCUGCCCCAGAGAGCGGGACAACCCGGGGAAACCCGGGCUAAUACCGCAUGAUGCGUCUCCACUUAAGUGGAGCCGCCAAAUGGUAGCUUCGGCCUCCGCUCUGGGAUGGGCCCGCGCCGGAUUAGCUAGUUGGUUGGGGUAACGGCCCACCAAGGCGACGAUCCGUAGCUGGUCUGGGAGGACGAUCAGCCACACUGGGACUGAGACACGGCCCAGACUCCUACGGGAGGCAGCAGUGGGGAAUCUUGCGCAAUGGGCGAAAGCCUGACGCAGCAACGCCGCGUGGGGGAAGAAGGCCUUCGGGUUGUAAACCUCUUUCAGUAGGGACGAAGCUUCCGGGGUUAAUAGCCUACGGGGUGACGGUACCUACAGAAGAAGCCCCGGCUAACUACGUGCCAGCAGCUGCGGUAA
This 507-nucleotide ribosomal RNA is filed under the name uncultured bacterium. RNAcentral's name for it is "partial 16S ribosomal RNA". It matches the Rfam family "Bacterial small subunit ribosomal RNA", at positions 28 to 523 of the family's 1533-position model. The record is from RNAcentral.